GCCAAUAGGGCUGCUCUUGCAGGCUACUUUGAUAUAGUAGUGUUAAAAUUUUAUUUCGUUGGUA
This 64-nucleotide transfer RNA is filed under the name Khawia sinensis. RNAcentral's name for it is "tRNA-Ile". Lineage: Eukaryota; Metazoa; Platyhelminthes; Cestoda; Caryophyllidea; Lytocestidae. The record is from RNAcentral.